CUCUAGAGGUUCCACAUUUGUCCCCAGAACAGAACCAAACUGUUGAGCCUUUUUAUGGCUCUGGUUCUGAUGCUCCUGCACCAACAGAUGACGGCAGAAGAGCUCUCAACAACAGACUGAUAGAAGAUCUGCAGCAUCUUCCUGCAAACCUUGAAGGAACUUAGCUUCCUCAAUAAGUCCAGUUUGUAAUGUACAACAUUGCUAUCUUUGGUGGCAUUGAUGGUUUUUCUCGAAAGAUAAUGUAUCUUGGUACAGCUCCCAACAACCUGGCAUCUACCACACUGGCUUUCUUUCAGGGUUCAGUGGAGGAGUUUGGUUUCCCCCUCAGGGUACGUGCUGAUCAAGGGGUGGAAAAUGUGGACGUGGCACGACUUAUGUUUAUGAUUCGUGGAACAGGAAGAAGCAGUUUCAUAUCUGGGAAGAGUGUGCACAAAGGAUUGAGCGACUGUGGAGAGAUCUGUGGACAGCUGUAACAUGCAUCUACUAUGAUGUGCUACGCUACCUUGAAGAAGAGGGAUACCUCGACAUUUCAAAUGAAGCACCUCUUCUGUUGCCAUUAUGUCUUCCUGCCUCGUCUGCAGAAUGAUCUGGAUACUUUCCGCAGUGGCUGGGACAAUCAUCCACUUCGAACUGAAAGCAACAUGACUCCUAACCAGCUCUGGGUUCUUGGUCGUACACAUCAUCCAAUUCCUGAACCACACGGUGCCUUGACAGAGGGUGUACAGAUUCCCGAAAUUGAAUGGGAGGACAGCAGGCUUCCUCUUCCUGAAGAGUCAAAUGUCACAGUACCAAACUCUAAUUUGCAACUGACUGACGAACAAAUGGCAGCCUUAAGAAAUGCAGUAAACCCAAAAGCCACAUCACUGUCUUCUGGAUGUGACAUUUAUAUUGCUGCUGUUCAAUUUUGCGAGCAGUUUUUUACUAUGUGAAAGUUGUCCAGUUUACGGAACCGUAUUGCUAUCAAGCAAGGAAACAAUUCAAGCGAAAUGCUGAGAAAAGGAGCAAAAUGCUGAUCAUGUUACCACAAAGGUGAAUUUUAGUGAUUUUAUGGUAGACAUGUUUGUAAUUUGAUUGUUUUUUUUCUUUAAUCAAAAGGAACCUAGUAGGUACAUUUGUACAUUGUUGUAGGACUUUAAAUUUCUUGCAUUAUAAGAAUCAGAAAAAGUUUAGUUUGUCUUAUGUACCGGUAAUUUAUUUUCUAAUACUUCAAGCAUAUAUGAACUCAUCUAACUACAUUCAAUAAACUU
Girardinichthys multiradiatus is the source of this 1247-nucleotide long non-coding RNA. RefSeq lists it as uncharacterized. NCBI's taxonomy places the organism in Eukaryota, Metazoa, Chordata, Actinopteri, Cyprinodontiformes, Goodeidae. The transcript is spliced from 6 exons. The record is from RefSeq and is a predicted model, not a curated record.